Molecule: transfer RNA, 555 nt
Filed under: Bradyrhizobium sp. S3.131
Lineage: Bacteria; Pseudomonadati; Pseudomonadota; Alphaproteobacteria; Hyphomicrobiales; Nitrobacteraceae
Also listed under: 1 other name
Description: partial 16S-23S ribosomal RNA intergenic spacer
Rfam family: tRNA (bases 66-138)
Source: RNAcentral
GGUCGGAAGUUCAAGUCUUCCCAGGCCCACCACACUCAUCGAGUGAGCAUUCGUCUUCUGGUUACGGGGCCAUAGCUCAGCUGGGAGAGCGCGUGCUUUGCAAGCAUGAGGUCGUCGGUUCGAUCCCGUCUGGCUCCACCAGAUGGUUUGAUCAUCGACUGAUCGUGCAACUUAAUCGUCCGCGAAACAUCACUUCGCAUCUUGCUAGUCUGGAUAGACAGCAAGUUGCGUGAUUUCUGACAUCGUAAAGAGGAGAUCGAUCCGAGUUGGGUCGUGCAGCAAGCAAUUGCUACGCGACACUUCAUUAUCUCCGGAUCAUUUCGGCGCUCGUGCGCCUUUCAAGGUGGCCCUCGUGGCUGCUUCGAAAGGCAAGCGAGUUGUAAAUGAUCCUUUUAGCGAAGCUUGACCGCCUCGCUAUCGGAACGAUCUUACGAAGCAAGCUGGUCUUUCUAAUCAUUGUCCGGCUGUGAGAAUAGCGCUCGUCGAGGGCGCGCGCCGCAAGGCAGUUCUUACAGACAACAUUCUGCCGAGUGUGUGGACAUUGAUAAUGAGAGC